GGGGUUGUGGCUCAGUGGUGGAGUGCUUGCUUUGCAAGAGUGAGGCACUGGGUUCGAUCCUCAGCACCUCA
RNAcentral lists this transfer RNA (71 nucleotides) under Marmota monax (woodchuck). It matches the Rfam family "tRNA". Rfam says of the family: Transfer RNA (tRNA) molecules are approximately 80 nucleotides in length. Their secondary structure includes four short double-helical elements and three loops (D, anti-codon, and T loops). The record is from Rfam by way of RNAcentral. Lineage: Eukaryota; Metazoa; Chordata; Mammalia; Rodentia; Sciuridae.